AGAGUUUGAUCCUGGCUCAGGACGAACGCUGGCGGCGUGCUUAACACAUGCAAGUCGAACGGAAAGGCCCUUCGGGGUACUCGAGUGGCGAACGGGUGAGUAACACGUGGGUGAUCUGCCCUGCACUUUGGGAUAAGCCUGGGAAACUGGGUCUAAUACCGAAUAUGACCAUGCGCCUCCUGGUGUGUGGUGGAAAGCUUUUGCGGUGUGGGAUGGGCCCGCGGCCUAUCAGCUUGUUGGUGGGGUAAUGGCCUACCAAGGCGACGACGGGUAGCCGGCCUGAGAGGGUGACCGGCCACACUGGGACUGAGAUACGGCCCAGACUCCUACGGGAGGCAGCAGUGGGGAAUAUUGCACAAUGGGCGCAAGCCUGAUGCAGCGACGCCGCGUGAGGGAUGACGGCCUUCGGGUUGUAAACCUCUUUCAGCACAGACGAAGCGCAAGUGACGGUAUGUGCAGAAGAAGGACCGGCCAACUACGUGCCAGCAGCCGCGGUAAUACGUAGGGUCCGAGCGUUGUCCGGAAUUACUGGGCGUAAAGAGCUCGUAGGUGGUUUGUCGCGUUGUUCGUGAAAACUCACAGCUUAACUGUGGGCGUGCGGGCGAUACGGGCAGACUUGGGUACUGCAGGGGAGACUGGAAUUCCUGGUGUAGCGGUGGAAUGCGCAGAUAUCAGGAGGAACACCGGUGGCGAAGGCGGGUCUCUGGGCAGUAACUGACGCUGAGGAGCGAAAGCGUGGGGAGCGAACAGGAUUAGAUACCCUGGUAGUCC
Molecule: ribosomal RNA, 771 nt
Filed under: uncultured bacterium
Lineage: Bacteria
Description: bacterial SSU rRNA
Rfam family: Bacterial small subunit ribosomal RNA
Source: RNAcentral